ACCUGGCCAGCUCAGUCAGUAGAGUGUGAGACUGUUGAUCUCAGGGUAGUGAGUUCAAGCCCCACACUGGGUA
RNAcentral lists this transfer RNA (73 nucleotides) under Ailuropoda melanoleuca (giant panda). It matches the Rfam family "tRNA". Rfam says of the family: Transfer RNA (tRNA) molecules are approximately 80 nucleotides in length. Their secondary structure includes four short double-helical elements and three loops (D, anti-codon, and T loops). The record is from Rfam by way of RNAcentral. Lineage: Eukaryota; Metazoa; Chordata; Mammalia; Carnivora; Ursidae.